This 464-nucleotide ribosomal RNA is filed under the name uncultured bacterium. RNAcentral describes it as "partial 16S ribosomal RNA". It matches the Rfam family "Bacterial small subunit ribosomal RNA", at positions 339 to 795 of the family's 1533-position model. The record is from RNAcentral.
CUACGGGGGGCUGCAGUGGGGAAUAUUGGACAAUGGGGGAAACCCUGAUCCAGCAAUGCCGCGUGUGUGAAGAAGGCCUUAGGGUUGUAAAGCACUUUCAGUAGUGAGGAAAAGUUUAAGGCUAAUACCCUUGAACCCUGACGUUAACUACAGAAGAAGCACCGGCUAACUUCGUGCCAGCAGCCGCGGUAAUACGAAGGGUGCAAGCGUUAAUCGGAUUUACUGGGCGUAAAGCGCGCGUAGGCGGUUUGAUAAGUCGGAUGUGAAAGCCCCGGGCUCAACCUGGGAAUUGCAUUCGAUACUGUCAGGCUAGAGUAUGGUAGAGGGAAGUGGAAUUCCACAUGUAGCGGUGAAAUGCGUAGAUAUGUGGAGGAACACCAGUGGCGAAGGCGACUUCCUGGCCCAAUACUGACGCUGAGGUGUGAAAGCGUGGGGAGCAAACAGGAUUAGAUACCCGGGUAGUC